GACGUAGGAUGCAAGCGUUGUCCGGAUUUAUUGGGCGUAAAGAGUUCGUAGGUGGUUUGCUAAGUCUGAUGUUAAAUACCGAGGCCUAACCUCGGAACCGCAUUGGAUACUGGCAGACUGGAGUACAGUAGAGGCAAGCGGAAUUCCCAGUGUAGCGGUGAAAUGCGUAGAUAUUGGGAAGAACACCAGUGGCGUAAGCGGCUUGCUGGGCUGUAACUGACACUGAGGAACGAAAGCCAGGGGAGCGAAUGGG
RNAcentral lists this ribosomal RNA (253 nucleotides) under uncultured bacterium. Its description in RNAcentral is "partial 16S ribosomal RNA". It matches the Rfam family "Bacterial small subunit ribosomal RNA", at positions 524 to 776 of the family's 1533-position model. The record is from RNAcentral.